CUACGGGUGGCAGCAGUGAGGAAUAUUGGACAAUGGGGGAAACCCUGAUCCAGCAAUGCCGCGUGAAUGAAGAAGGCCUUAGGGUUAUAAAGUUCUUUCACCCGUGAAGAUGAUGACGGUAACGGGAGAAGAAGCCCCGGCUAACUCUGUGCCAGCAGCCGCGGUAAGACAGAGGGGGCUAGCGUUGUUCGGAAUAACUGGGCGUAAAGGGUGCGUAGGCGGUUGUUUAAGUAAAGUGUUAAAGCCCUGGGCUCAACCCAGGAAUCGCAUUUUAAACUGGACAGCUAGAGUGUGGUAGAGGAAAGUGGAAUUUCUAGUGUAGAGGUGGAAUUCGUAGAUAUUAGAAGGAACACCAGAGGCGAAGGCGGCUUUCUGGACCACAACUGACGCUGAGGCACGAAAGCGUGGGGAGCAAACAGGAUUAGAUACCCCUGUAGUC
RNAcentral lists this ribosomal RNA (439 nucleotides) under uncultured bacterium. Its description in RNAcentral is "partial 16S ribosomal RNA". It matches the Rfam family "Bacterial small subunit ribosomal RNA", at positions 339 to 795 of the family's 1533-position model. The record is from RNAcentral.